This 485-nucleotide ribosomal RNA is filed under the name uncultured bacterium. Its description in RNAcentral is "bacterial SSU rRNA". It matches the Rfam family "Bacterial small subunit ribosomal RNA", at positions 29 to 507 of the family's 1533-position model. The record is from RNAcentral.
AACGAACGCUGGCGGCGCGCCUAACACAUGCAAAUCGAACGAGAAUCCGGGGCAACCCGGUAGUAAAGUGGCAAACGGGUGAGGAAUACAUGGGUAACCUACCCUUGAGAAGGGAAUAACCCGCCGAAAGGUGAGCUAAUACCCUAUACGCUAUCUUUUUUUCGAAAAGGAUAGGAAAGCCGGGUCGAGGACCUGGUACUCAAGGAGGGGCUCAUGUCCUAUCAGCUUGUUGGUGGGGUAACGGCCUACCAAGGCUACGACGGGUAGCUGGUCUGAGAGGAUGAUCAGCCACACUGGCACUGAGAUACGGGCCAGACUCCUACGGGAGGCAGCAGUGAGGAAUAUUGCGCAAUGGGCGAAAGCCUGACGCAGCGACGCCGCGUGGGGGAUGAAGGUUUUCGGAUUGUAAACCCCCUUCAUGAGGAAAGAUAAAGUGGGUAACCACUUAGACGGUACCUCAAGAAGAAGCCACGGCUAACUUCGUG